UCCGUUUUGCGAAUUAUCUGUGUUUUAGUCUUUGCACGAGUCAGCGGUGAAGGAACUGCGAGGGACGACAUUCUACUUACACAAUACGUUACAAUCGUUGGAAAAUUCCAACAAAUUUUACUUCGCUCGCUACUUUACGCUAAGAGCACCUAUGACUCUCGCAAGAUCAAUGAUUUAUAGUAAAAGUGGAUCGGUCGAAGAGGAUCUGUGCUUUGGCCUGCGUGAUCCUUAGGUUUAAAUCCUCUCUUUU
RNAcentral lists this unclassified non-coding RNA (250 nucleotides) under Bombus terrestris (buff-tailed bumblebee). RNAcentral's name for it is "misc RNA ENSBTSG00005033734.1". Lineage: Eukaryota; Metazoa; Arthropoda; Insecta; Hymenoptera; Apidae. The record is from RNAcentral.